Molecule: long non-coding RNA, 912 nt
Filed under: Homo sapiens (human)
Lineage: Eukaryota; Metazoa; Chordata; Mammalia; Primates; Hominidae
Description: HSALNT0389972
Source: RNAcentral
UCCUCCCCGUGGCCAGCAUAUCCCUGGGAUCCAAGACAGGUCCGCAUCAUACUGCCAGGGGAUCCUCGGGGUUAGGCACCCAGGAAUGGAUGGGAUGCAGGCAGGGCUGGGACUGGUGGCUGGCUCUAUUGUGCUCUGAUGCUGCAGGAACAGACCAGAUGUCAUCCAGGGGCCCGGAAUUUGGGGGGCGCCGCUGGGUGUGGCAGCAUCAGAAGCCUCAGAUCCGCAUCUCCAUCUGCCACAGGAUUUUCAUUCAUCAGUGCUUGACACUCCCCUACCUCUGCUAGAACACCAUAUGCAUGAAGGCCAAGAUCUUCAUCACUGCUUCACUUUUAUUCUUUCCUGUAUCCCAAGCACCAAGCAGCACAGUGUUUGGCACACAGUAAAGUGCUUAACAAAUAGCUGUUGAAUGAAUGAAUGUGCCUGCCACCAUCUCAUACAUGUUACAGGCAUCACUGCUGCUGCUGGGCUUGUGGUCUGGUCUGCAGCCUUCUCGCCUGAACCGCUCACCUCCCAAGCUGCUUGCAAACUGAAUAAAGCUCUCCCAAAGUCAAGCUGAUCGCUCCUUUCCCUGAGAAACAUGCCUCUGUCCCUGCUUCUUGGGGUCUCCCCAGCCCACCAUCUCCCCUUGGACACAGAGUGCCAGAGCACUAGCAGGGAGAAGUGGCAAAGUUUCAAGAUUUCAUUUGUAAUUCUUUUCAGAUGAAAUGUCAGAAAUAUUAGAAAGGCAGAGUCAUAAAUCUGAUCCUAAUAUAGCAUAGAGCUUAUUAAUGAAGAAUAAAUCACCAAGGGAAACCUCCCCGGGGUGCUUCUCCAGGGCCUGUGGGGAAGAUGGCAUAUUUAUGUGCAAGCGUAGCGGGUCUUUUACCUUCUCAGAUAUAUGGCCAAGGCAGAUUUGUCAGGGCAGUAGCC